Molecule: ribosomal RNA, 497 nt
Filed under: uncultured bacterium
Lineage: Bacteria
Description: partial 16S ribosomal RNA
Rfam family: Bacterial small subunit ribosomal RNA
Source: RNAcentral
GAUGAACGCUGGCGGCGUGCCUAAUACAUGCAAGUCGAGCGAACGGACGAGAAGCUUGCUUUUCUGAUGUUAGCGGCGGACGGGUGAGUAACACGUGGAUAACCUACCUAUAAGACUGGGAUAACUUCGGGAAACCGGAGCUAAUACCGGAUAAUAUUUUGAACCGCAUGGUUCAAAAGUGAAAGACGGUCUUGCUGUCACUUAUAGAUGGAUCCGCGCUGCAUUAGCUAGUUGGUAAGGUAACGGCUUACCAAGGCAACGAUGCAUAGCCGACCUGAGAGGGUGAUCGGCCAAACUGGAACUGAGACACGGUCCAGACUCCUAAGGGAGGCAACAGUAGGGAAUCUUCCGCAAUGGGCGAAAGCCUGACGGAGCAACGCCGCGUGAGUGAUGAAGGUCUUCGGAUCGUAAAACUCUGUUAUUAGGGAAGAACAUAUGUGUAAGUAACUGUGCACAUCUUGACGGUACCUAAUCAGAAAGCCACGGCUAGCUACGUG